GCUCAGGCUCUUAGUAGAGAAAAAGAGAACUCUCGAAGAAUUACAACUGAAAAGAUGCUAUUGCAAAAAGAAGUAGAGAAACUGAAUUUUGAGAACACAUUUCUUCGCCUAAAGCUAAAUAACUUGAAUAAGAAGCUUAUAGACAUAGAAGCUCUCAUGAACAAUAACUUGAUAACUGCAAUUGAAAUGAGCAGUCUUUCUGAGUUCCAUCAGAGUUCCUUUCUACUGUCAGCUAGCAAGAAGAAACGAAUUAGUAAACAGUGCAAAUUGAUGCGUCUUCCAUUUGCAAGGUAAAUAUGGGCUUGAAUUACACUAGUUCAGAGUAUAUAGAUUUUAUAUAACACAAUUAGUGUUUGUGUGUAUUGUACAGUGUUCAGGAUCAUCAACCUGUAGUUAUCUACUAAGGUAGAAAUGAGGUGGUUUGUAGUGUCUCGCUAUAGGUUGUUUCUCUAGGACUUCAAGGAAACUUACGGUCAAUCCCCCAACCAGGUUUAUUUGUAAUGUCUUGCUACUUUACAGUUCUUUUUUUUCUUUUCAUCUAGUUCACUCCUGGCCUUGUAUUGAUUUUUGCUGGAU
Molecule: small RNA, 576 nt
Filed under: Pongo abelii (Sumatran orangutan)
Lineage: Eukaryota; Metazoa; Chordata; Mammalia; Primates; Hominidae
Description: retained intron
Source: RNAcentral